GACGAACGCUGGCGGCGUGCCUAAUACAUGCAAGUUGAGCGCUGAAGGUUGGUACUUGUACCAACUGGAUGAGCAGCGAACGGGUGAGUAACGCGUGGGGAAUCUGCCUUUGAGCGGGGGACAACAUUUGGAAACGAAUGCUAAUACCGCAUAAAAACUUUAAACACAAGUUUUAAGGUUGAAAGAUGCAAUUGCAUCACUCAAAGAUGAUCCCGCGUUGUAUUAGCUAGUUGGUGAGGUAAAGGCUCACCAAGGCGAGGAUACAUAGCCGACCUGAGAGGGUGAGCGGCCACAUUGGGACGGAGACACGGCCCAAACUCCUACGGGAGGCAGCAGUAGGGAAUCUUCGGCAAUGGACGAAAGUCUGACCGAGCAACGCCGAGGGAGUGAAGAAGGAUGUCGGAUCGUAAAACUCUGUUGGUAGAGAAGAACGUUGGUGAGAGUGGAAAGCUCAUCAAGUGACGGUAACUACCCAGAAAGGGACGGCUAACUACGUG
Molecule: ribosomal RNA, 497 nt
Filed under: uncultured bacterium
Lineage: Bacteria
Description: partial 16S ribosomal RNA
Rfam family: Bacterial small subunit ribosomal RNA
Source: RNAcentral